RNAcentral lists this ribosomal RNA (119 nucleotides) under Pteropus alecto (black flying fox). The record is from RNAcentral. Lineage: Eukaryota; Metazoa; Chordata; Mammalia; Chiroptera; Pteropodidae.
GUCUACGGCCGUGCCACCCUGAACGCCCUGGAUCCCAGCUGAUCUUGGAAGCUAAGCAGGGUCGGGCCUGGUUAGUACUUGGAUGGGAGACCACCUAGGAAGACUGGGUGCUGUAGGUG